RNAcentral lists this long non-coding RNA (424 nucleotides) under Musa acuminata (dwarf banana). Its description in RNAcentral is "long non-coding RNA (MACU_LNC003362)". Lineage: Eukaryota; Viridiplantae; Streptophyta; Magnoliopsida; Zingiberales; Musaceae. The record is from RNAcentral.
ACGCAUCGCAGGCGAAGCUUUUCUGACCGUGGAAGUCUCCAAGGUUUGGCCUUUCGGCGGCUGUGGCGGACGAUGGUCGGGAAGCGCGGCUGGUUCAGGAAGCUCAACAAGACGCACCAUUGGCCGUGGAAGCCAAGCUUCUCCGCUUCCUGGCGGUGGAAGGGCCCCAAGCUCCGGUUCUCCCUCCUCGACGACCUCGCCUUCCACGUCCUCUACUUCCUUGAGGCCGUCGUCCUCGUCGCCGGCUUCUGCUGCUUCUUCCUCUGCUGCGGCUGCCACAUCUGAUUCGCUCUUUUGCUUUCUGUCUUCUCGAGGUUGCUGCCAUGGCUGCCUGCCUCCGGUCCAAGGCAGACCACCUCCGCGACCCAUGUGCGGAGCUCGAUCCCUGGCAGAAGGACCUCCUGAAGCGCUCGAGGGACUGCCC